GAUGAACGCUAGCUACAGGCUUAACACAUGCAAGUCGCGGGGCAGCAUGGGGGUUGCUUGCAAUCCCCGAUGGCGACCGGCGCACGGGUGAGUAACGCGUAUCCAACCUGCCCUUCACCACGGGAUAACCCGGCGAAAGUCGGACUAAUACCGUAUGUUGUCCAUUGACGGCAUCCGAUUUGGACGAAAGGCUUGGCGGUGAGGGAGGGGGAUGCGUCCGAUUAGCCAGACGGCGGGGUAACGGCCCACCGUGGCUACGAUCGGUAGGGGUUCUGAGAGGAAGGUCCCCCACACUGGAACUGAGACACGGUCCAGACUCCUACGGGAGGCAGCAGUGAGGAAUAUUGGUCAAUGGGCGUAAGCCUGAACCAGCCAAGUAGCGUGCAGGAUGACGGCCCUAUGGGUUGUAAACUGCUUUUAUGCGGGGAUAAAGUGGCCCACGUGUGGGCUUUUGCAGGUACCGCAUGAAUAAGGGCCGGCUAAUUCCGUG
RNAcentral lists this ribosomal RNA (490 nucleotides) under uncultured bacterium. RNAcentral's name for it is "partial 16S ribosomal RNA". It matches the Rfam family "Bacterial small subunit ribosomal RNA", at positions 28 to 507 of the family's 1533-position model. The record is from RNAcentral.